CUACGGGCGGCUCCAGUGGGGAAUAUUGCACAAUGGAGGAAACUCUGAUGCAGCAACGCCGCGUGGAGGAUGACACUUUUCGGAGCGUAAACUCCUUUUAUAUAGGAAGAUAAUGACGGUACUAUAUGAAUAAGCACCGGCUAACUCCGUGCCAGCAGCCGCGGUGAAUACGGAGGGUGCAAGCGUUACUCGGAAUCACUGGGCGUAAAGAGCGUGUAGGCGGGUUAAUAAGGCAGAAGUGAAAUCCUAUGGCUCAACCAUAGAACUGCUUUUGAAACUGUUAACCUAGAGUGUGGGAGAGGUAGAUGGAAUUUCUGGUGUAGGGGUAAAAUCCGUAGAGAUCAGAAGGAAUACCGAUUGCGAAGGCGAUCUACUGGAACAUAACUGACGCUGAGACGCGAAAGCGUGGGGAGCAAACAGGAUUAGAUACCCCAGUAGUC
Molecule: ribosomal RNA, 440 nt
Filed under: uncultured bacterium
Lineage: Bacteria
Description: partial 16S ribosomal RNA
Rfam family: Bacterial small subunit ribosomal RNA
Source: RNAcentral